Small nucleolar RNA from Sorex araneus (European shrew), 101 nucleotides. RefSeq annotates it as small nucleolar RNA SNORA55. The transcript has a single exon. NCBI's taxonomy places the organism in Eukaryota, Metazoa, Chordata, Mammalia, Eulipotyphla, Soricidae. The record is from RefSeq and is a predicted model, not a curated record.
GCAACGAGUGAAGUUGGAUGGUGCUACAGUACAAGCAGAGGAAAUCCAGAAGGGUUAUUUCCAUUUGUUUUGAGAUCUGUCCCUACAACUCUGCCACACUU